AUUGGAGUUAUUGACUGAGUUUGGCACUGCUGGCUCAAUAUGUUUUUGCUGAUUGGAGUUAUUGACUAAAAUUUCAGUUCUUGGUUGCAAUUUGGAAACUCAGCUCUAAUAAAUCGAGGCAUUAAUUUUUAUUUUUUUAAAAAGAAAAGUGCACUGUAUGAAGAAAAAAGAAGGGAAAAGUGCACUAAAAUAAUCCAAUAUAUGAAAUAAAUCGAAAAAAAUGCACAUAAAAUAGAAUGAAUAGUGCACUAAAAACUAUAUAAAAUAGAAUGAAUAGUGCACAAAAUUAGUGUACGAUACAAAAAAUAAUUAAUAGUGCACAAAAAUAAUACACUAUGUAAAAAAAAAAAAUAGUGCAAAAAAAAUAUAUAUCCACGACAUUAACCCUAAUCCGUUAAUAAAAAGGUACAUAGUGCACUAAGUCUAUUCUUGUUACAUUCCACUUUCAGCGGCAUCCUUCCGCCAUUUCUUUGAAUUGGCGACAUAUUUCAGUCGCGUACUCCAAAAUCUAUUAAAAAACCAAUAACAUAUAAUUAAAGCUUAGAGCCUCUGUUUGGCCAAGCUACCAAAAAUUGCAAUUUUGAUAAAAGUGCUUCUCAAAAUGAAUAAUUUCUAAUAGAUCAGUCAAACAAGCUCUUAGUUCAUUAAGACGACAUACCUAAACAAACAGAUAACUAAAGUCAAACAGGCUCUUAGUUCAUUAAGACGACAUACCUAAACAAACUGAUAACUAAAGCUAAAAGCUUGUUUGGUCAAGCUGCCAAAAAAUACUAUUUUGACAAAAGUGCUUCUCAAAAAAAACAAUUUAUGGCAGAUCGGUUGUUAAGAGCCCAUACCUAAAUCAAGAGAUAACUAAGGCCCUAUUUGUCCAUGAAUAUAAAUUAAAGUUGUUUUUGAAAUUUUGUGAUAGAAGUAUAAGUAAAAAAGUGAAAACAAGUUUCAAAUAAUUUUCCGGGAUUGGAGUUGAAAAAUUCACGGCCAAACAAACAGAGUGUGUUUUCAUUGUUUUUGUUAAAGUGAAAUAAUUUUCCGAAAAAAAGGAAAAAAAUUUCUAUGGCCAAACGGCUACUAAAUCUUGAGCCUAAAAGCCCGUUUGGCCAAGUUGUCAAAAACUGUUAUUUUUUAUAAAAGUGCUUCUAUUUAUGCGUUGCAGGUGGGCUUGUAUAGGGAGGAGAAGAUGCGGUUUUGGGAUACUUUGGAUGAGGUGGUGAGAGGCGUGCCUAGCUCUGAGAAGAUUUUUGUAGCAGAAGAUUUCAAUGGGCACAUCGGGGUGUUACCGAGAGGCUUUAGCGAUGUGCAUGGUGGUUUUGGUUUUGGGGAGAAAUGAUGAGGGAGUUGCUCUGUUGGAUUUUGCGAGGUCUUUUGGGUUGGUCGUGGUGAAUUCAAACUUUUCGAAGAAGGAUGACCACCUGAUCACCUUACGAAGCGCAAUAGUCAGACCCAAAUUGACUUUUUGCUGCUUAGGAAAGGGGAUAGGGUGUUGUGUAAAGACUGUAAGGUCAUUCCGAGUGAGAAUCUUUCGACCUAUCAUAGGCUCUUGGUGAUGGACUUGGGUAUAAAGAAGGAAAAGAAGAAAAGGGGUGAGGAGGGUCGACCUAGAAUUAAGUGGGGUGGCUUGACGCCGGUGAAUGCGCUAGAGAUAGAGGAGAAGGUGGCGAGAAUGGGGGUGUGGGAGUGUAGGGGGUGGAUGGUAUGUGGGAUAGGGUGGCUAGGUGCAUCAAGGAGGCUGCUAGUGAGGUGUUAGGUGUUUCCAAGGGUCAGGCCGGUCAUCAUCGGGGGAAUUGGUGGUGGAAUGAAGAAGUUAAGAAGAAAAUGGAGACUAAGAAGAUGGCGUAUGAUAAGUUGGUUGAGAGUAAGGAGGAAGAGGAGAAACGGGUAAAUAGGGAGGAGUACAAGUUAGCUAGGAAGAAGGCUAAGUUAGCAGUUACGGCUGCUAAAACAGCAGUGUUUGAGGGCUUGUAUGUGGGGUUAAAGGAGAAAGGCGGGGAAAAGAGGUUGUUUAGACUUGCUAAGGCUAGGGAGAGGAAGGGUCGUGACCUAGGUGAAGUGCAUUAACGGGGAGGAUAGUAAAAUGUUGGUGGAGGACGAUUACAUUAAGAAAAGAUCACAAUCGUAUUUUCAUAGGCUCUUGAAUGAUGAGGAGAAUAGAGUUACUGUGUUAGGGGGAGCUGGAGCACUCAGAGGUGUCUUGAUUUUAGUUAUUGUAGACGUUUUAAGGUGGAGGAGGUCAAAAAGGCUGUUCGCAGAAUACGAAGGGGUAGGGCGACAGGGCCUGAUGAGAUUCCAGUGGAUUUUUGAAAGUUUAUUGGCGAGACUGGUUUAAGGUCGUUGACUAAAUUGUUUAACGACAUUUUCAAGACAGCGAAAAUGCCCGAGGCUUGGAGAUGGAGUACUAUGAUUCCUCUGUAUAAGAACAAGGGUGACAUUCAGAGUUAUAACAACUAUAGGGUAUUAAGUUAUUGAGUCACACUAUGAAGAUUUGGAAAAGAGUGGUCGAGUUGAGGUUGAGGAGGAUAAUGUCUAUUUCGGAGAACCAGUUUGGAUUUAUGCCCGGUCGCUCGAUGACGGAGGCAAUUCACCUGGUGCGGAGGCUGGUGGAAUAGUAUAAGGAAAGGAAGAAGGAUCUGCACAUGGUAUUUAUUGACUUGGAGAAGGCGUACGACAAAGUCCCUAGGAAGGUUCUUUAGAGAUGCUUGGAAGGGAAGGAGGUCCCGAUGGCGUAUAUCAAAGCAAUCAAGGACAUGUAUGAUGGAGCUAAGACCCAGGUGAGGACGGCGGGAGGAGAUUUAGAGCAUUUUUCUGUCUUAAUUGGUUGCAUCAGGGAUCUACUUUUAGCCCGUUUUUGUUUGCUUUGGUGAUAGAUGUGUUGACGCGGCAUAUGCUUUUUGCAGAUGAUGUAGUUUUGAUUUAUGAGACGCGGGAGGAGGGGGUGAAUGAUAAAUUAGAGGUGUGGAGACAGACCCUUGAGUCUAAAAGGUUCAGGUUGAGUAAGAGCAAGACAGAAUAUUUUGAAUGCAAGUUUAAUAACUUAAGGCAGGAGAACGGGGUGGUAGUAAGGUAGGAUUCUCAAGUUGUGUGUAAGAGGGAUAGUUUCAAGUAUCUCGGGUCCAUGAUUCAGGGAAAUGGUGAGAUUGACAAGGAUGUCUCCUACCGUAUUGAGGCGAGAUGGAUAAAGUGGAAGCUCGUCUCGAGGGUGUUUUGUGAUAAGGUGCCGCCUAAGCUUAUAGACAAAUUCUACAAGGUGGCAGUCCGUCCGGCCAUGUUGUAUGGAGUGGAGUGUUGGCCAGUCAAGAACUCCCACAUUCAAAAAUUAAAGGUGACGGAAAUGCGGAUGUUUCGUUGGAUGUGUGGGCUUACCAGGGGUGAUAGAGUUCGGAAUGAGACUAUCCGGGAGAAAGUUGGAGUGACUUCGGUGGAGGACAAGAUGCGGGAAGUCCGAUUGAGAUGGUUCGGACAUGUGAUGAGGAGGGGCAUGGAUGCCCCCAUUCGUAGGUGUGAGAGGCUAGCUUUGGAUGGUUUCAAGCGGGGUAGGGGUGGGCCGAAGAAAUACUGGAGAGAAGUGAUUAGGCGGGACAUGGAGCAAUUACAACUUACUGAGGACAUGACCCUAGAUAGAAAGGUCCUAAGAACGCGAAUGAAGAUAGAAGGCUAGUGCCAAUUUGAUUCAUUAGUGUAAGGUAUUACUUGGUGGAUAUAUUAUUUUGUUAUGCCAUCUUGUUUCAUGCUUUAUUACAAAUUUGUUUACUAUUCCUUGUGGGUGUCGUAUUUAUGUUAUGUCAUCUUGUUCCAUGCUUUAUUACGAAUUUAUUUAUUAUUCCUUGUCUUGAGCCGGGGGUCUAUCGAAAACAUCUUUUCUACUUCUCCGGAGGUAGUGGUACGAACUGCGUACAUCUUACCCUCCCCAGAUCCCACUAUGUAGGAAUACACUAGGUUUGUUGUUGUUGUCAAAAUAAUCAAUUUCAGAUGGUCAAACAAGCUCUUAGGUUGUAUUUGUUUUUUUUUUAAGAUUCAGAUGUCCGAAUCUAAAUGCGCGUCUGAAUGAUUAAGAUGUUAUUUCUAAAUCUGAAAAUUGAAUGAUUAAAACUGUUUGUUUUUUAACAAUGUACAAAAAAAAAUAUUUGUAUAUAUAAUAAAAUAAAAAUAUAAUUCAAAUAAAAAACUAAUUAUAUAUAAGAAAAGUAUGUAAUUUAAUACAACAAAAUUAUUAUUUGAUUGAAUUUUUUUGUUUUAUGUUUGUUAGUGACAGUGGAGAUGAUUUAUAAUGGUGGUUGCAGUGACAGUGAUUGGUGUUAGUUAUUAGUAAUGUUAGUGGUGAUAGUUGUGAUGGUUGGUAUUGUAGUGCCUGUUAUGAUAGUGGCGGUUGAUAGUGGUGGUGAUGGUUGUGAUGUGACAUUGUUUGGUGUUAGUAGUUGGAGGUGUUGAUUGUGAUGGCUGAAAAAUGAAUGAAUGAUGAUUGACGAUGUGUUGGUGCUAGUUAGAGAUAUUGUUAGUUGUAAUGGUAAAGAUGGUUGUUAGUAGAGAUAAAUUGUAGCGAUGAUAACGAUUGAAGUGAUGGUAGAGGUGACAUUACUAGUGCCAAUGGUGGUGGCCGCCGAAGAAUGUGUGGAGGUUGUGAUGUAUUAGUGAUAGUUAGCGGUAGUGCUAGUUGUGAUAGAUGAGUUGGUCGAUAAUAGCGAUUGACCGGCAGUAAUUGAUGAUGGUGGUGCUGUUGACGGCGGUGGCGACGUUAAAUAUAAUUAGAAUAAUAGAGGUAGGUGUGGCAGUGGUUGACAAUAGUGGUUGGUAGUGAUAUUUCUUAUCGAUGGUGGUUGUAAUGGUGGAGGUGGUUGUUGGUGGUGAGUGGUGGGGGGUGGUUGACAAUGAUGGCGAUGGCAGAGGUGAUGACUGAUGAUGAUGAAUAGAGUCACAGUGAAUAUUAUCCAAUACCAGAAUACCUUUUCAGAUUUGAUUAUAGAUCUGAAUAAUUAAGAUUUAUUCAAACGUAAUAAAAACUAAAAUCUUAAUAAAUAACAAAUGUACUUAAUGGUUUAAAGUUUGAACCGUUCAGAUCCAUAUCUCCAUAAAGUGCAAACAAAUGAGCCCUUAAUCUGAGACCAUAGACCUAAACCAAUAGAUAAUUGAAGCUAAAAGCCUGCUUGGCCAAGCUGCCAAAAAUUGCUAUGCUGAUCAACAUGCUUCUCAAAAUAAACAAUUUCUGGAUCGGUCAAACAUGAUCUUAGUUUGUUACCAACACAUACCUAAAAAAAAUCGACUUCCAAACUUCUUUUUACAAUCUACUCUUUUUGUCAAUCUAUUAAAUGUGUCAGGUUAUUAAAAACUGAUCCAAAAAAAAUAUUGAGGGAAGCAUGAAAAUCCAUGGCGUUGCCACUAAAAAUCUUAUCCGAUGCUUCCACUUUAUGAAUAAUGAAAUCCGUAUCUGAUGCCUUACCUUACUUCCAUUUUUUGUUUGAGAUAACUAAUAUUGGUAUAACUAAUUUCAGUAUAAUUAAUCCUAUUAUAACAAACCCCUGCAUAACUAAUUUCAGUAUAAUUAAUUCUACCAUAACUAAUCUCCGCAUAACUUGUAUUCCAAAACAAACCAAUUAACUAACUCUAGACUCAAUUCACAUGGAAGAAUGUAAUGCCAAUAGCCAAUCAGUGAAAGCGAAAUAAACACAAUUCACCAAAAUAAGGCUAUAAAACACCAUUGAUAUUACUGUUGGUGACAUACUGACCAUUCACACUAUAGUAAAAUCGUUCCUUAUUAAAGGCCAAUUUGUGUGUGACUGGCUAAUUGGUCACCUUCUCCUCUCCACAUAAAUAGAUUUAUCUAAUAUAAUACAGACAAUUUUAAUUUUAAAGGGAAGUUACCUAAACAAUGCGAAAAUACCAACAACGAAUCAACUUGCUUAGCAAAGCAUAAGAGGCGGCGUUUUGUAGGGUUUUAAGGGCAUUUAUAUAGUGUGUGACUUGAGUUAUGAAGAAGAAGAAUAACAGUGACGGCAUAGGGUUUUAGGAAUUUUAUUGGGUUGGACUACUGCUUGGAUUUGUCAAAGCCCGAUUCCAUUGGCCCACAGCCCACAAGCUUUUUUAAAAAAAAUGAUGAAUAGGAAAAUCUUAAUAGCUCGAUUGAUUAUCUGAACAUUUACUUUUAACUGAACGUCAUUCGAAAAGCUUCAAUUUGUUUGUAGGUUAAUUUGUUUAGCAUGUUUUGUCAUACUUCCUAUAGUAUAGCAUG
This 6217-nucleotide long non-coding RNA is filed under the name Capsicum annuum. RNAcentral's name for it is "long non-coding RNA (CANN_LNC000454)". Lineage: Eukaryota; Viridiplantae; Streptophyta; Magnoliopsida; Solanales; Solanaceae. The record is from RNAcentral.